CCUACGGGAGGCUGCAGUGAGGAAUAUUGGUCAAUGGACGAGAGUCUGAACCAGCCAAGUAGCGUGAAGGAUGACUGCCCUAUGGGUUGUAAACUUCUUUUAUAUGGGAAUAAAAUGUUCCACGUGUGGGAUGUUGUAUGUACCAUAUGAAUAAGGAUCGGCUAACUCCGUGCCAGCAGCCGCGGUAAUACGGAGGAUCCGAGCGUUAUCCGGAUUUAUUGGGUUUAAAGGGAGCGUAGGUGGAUUGUUAAGUCAGUUGUGAAAGUUUGCGGCUCAACCGUAAAAUUGCAGUUGAAACUGGCAGUCUUGAGUACAGUAGAGGUGGGCGGAAUUCGUGGUGUAGCGGUGAAAUGCUUAGAUAUCACGAAGAACUCCGAUUGCGAAGGCAGCUCACUGGACUGCAACUGACACUGAGGCUCGAAAGUGUGGGUAUCAAACAGGAUUAGAUACCCUAGUAGUC
RNAcentral lists this ribosomal RNA (460 nucleotides) under uncultured bacterium. RNAcentral describes it as "partial 16S ribosomal RNA". It matches the Rfam family "Bacterial small subunit ribosomal RNA", at positions 338 to 795 of the family's 1533-position model. The record is from RNAcentral.